GUGGGGAAUAUUGCGCAAUGGGCGAAAGCCUGACGCAGCAACGCCGUGUGGGUGAUGACGGUCUUCGGAUUGUAAAGCCCUGUUGAGGGGGACGAGCAAGGACGGUACCCCUCGAGGAAGCACCGGCUAACUCCGUGCCAGCAGCCGCGGUAAUACGGAGGGUGCAAACGUUGUUCGGAAUCAUUGGGCGUAAAGCGCACGCAGGCGGUUUAUCAGGUCGGAUGUGAAAUGCCGGGGCUCAACCCCGGAACUGCGUUCGAAACCGGUAAGCUGGAGUCACGGAGGGAGAAGGGGAAUUCCUGGUGUAGGGGUGAAAUCCGUAGAGAUCAGGAGGAACACCGGCGGCGAAAGCGCCUUCUUGGACGAUGACUGACGCUGAGGUGCGAAAGCGUGGGGAGCAAACAGGAUUAGAUACCCGUGUAGUCC
RNAcentral lists this ribosomal RNA (426 nucleotides) under uncultured bacterium. RNAcentral's name for it is "partial 16S ribosomal RNA". It matches the Rfam family "Bacterial small subunit ribosomal RNA", at positions 354 to 796 of the family's 1533-position model. The record is from RNAcentral.